CCUGCCUCAAAGAGGGGGACAACAGUUGGAAACGACUGCUAAUACCGCAUAAGCCCACGACCCGGCAUCGGGAAGAGGGAAAAGGAGCAAUCCGCUUUGAGAUGGCCUCGCGUCCGAUUAGCUAGUUGGUGAGGUAACGGCCCACCAAGGCAACGAUCGGUAGCCGGACUGAGAGGUUGAACGGCCACAUUGGGACUGAGACACGGCCCAGACUCCUACGGGAGGCAGCAGUGGGGAAUAUUGCACAAUGGGGGAAACCCUGAUGCAGCGACGCCGCGUGGAGGAAGAAGGUCUUCGGAUUGUAAACUCCUGUUGUUGAGGAAGAUAAUGACGGUACUCAACAAGGAAGUGACGGCUAACUACGUGCCAGCAGCCGCGGUAAAACGUAGGUCACAAGCGUUGUCCGGAAUUACUGGGUGUAAAGGGAGCGCAGGCGGGAAGACAAGUUGGAAGUGAAAUCCAUGGGCUCAACCCAUGAACUGCUUUCAAAACUGUUUUUCUUGAGUAGUGCAGAGGUAGGCGGAAUUCCCGGUGUAGCGGUGGAAUGCGUAGAUAUCGGGAGGAACACCAGUGGCGAAGGCGGCCUACUGGGCACCAACUGACGCUGAGGCUCGAAAGUGUGGGUAGCAAACAGGAUUAGAUACCCUGGUAGUCCACACCGUAAACGAUGAUUACUAGGUGUUGGAGGAUUGACCCCUUCAGUGCCGCAG
This 710-nucleotide ribosomal RNA is filed under the name uncultured bacterium. RNAcentral describes it as "bacterial SSU rRNA". It matches the Rfam family "Bacterial small subunit ribosomal RNA", at positions 125 to 851 of the family's 1533-position model. The record is from RNAcentral.